CAGUAGCCGCGGGAAUACGAAGGGGGCUAGCGUUGCUCGGAAUCACUGGGCGUAAAGGGUGCGUAGGCGGGUCUUUAAGUCAGGGGUGAAAUCCUGGAGCUCAACUCCAGAACUGCCUUUGAUACUGAAGAUCUUGAGUUCGGGAGAGGUGAGUGGAACUGCGAGUGUAGAGGUGAAAUUCGUAGAUAUUCGCAAGAACACCAGUGGCGAAGGCGGCUCACUGGCCCGAUACUGACGCUGAGGCACGAAAGCGUGGGGAGCAAACAGGAUUAGAUACCCGUGUAGCCCUGUCUCUUAUACA
RNAcentral lists this ribosomal RNA (301 nucleotides) under uncultured bacterium. RNAcentral's name for it is "partial 16S ribosomal RNA". It matches the Rfam family "Bacterial small subunit ribosomal RNA", at positions 509 to 809 of the family's 1533-position model. The record is from RNAcentral.